This 493-nucleotide ribosomal RNA is filed under the name uncultured bacterium. RNAcentral's name for it is "partial 16S ribosomal RNA". It matches the Rfam family "Bacterial small subunit ribosomal RNA", at positions 28 to 507 of the family's 1533-position model. The record is from RNAcentral.
GACGAACGCUGGCGGCGUGCUUAACACAUGCAAGUCGAACGGUGAAGGGACCGGUUUUUGCUGGUUCUGGAUGAGUGGCGAACGGGUGAGUAACACGUGAGUAACCUGCCCCCUUCUUCUGGAUCACCGCAUGAAAGUGUGUCUAAUACGGGAUAUUCUGCGCCUGCUGCAUGGUGGGUGUGGGAAAGGUAUUGUUUCGGUGGGGGAUGGGCUCGCGGCCUCGCAGGUUGGUAGUGGGGUGAUGGCCUACCAAGGCGGUGAGGGGUAGACGGCCUGGGAGGGUGGGCGGCAACAGUGGGACGGCGCCACGGCCAAGACUCCUACGGGAGGCAGCAGUGGGGAAUAUUGCACAAUGGGCGCAAGCCUGAUGCAGCGACGCCGCGGGAGUGAUGGAGGCCUUCGGGUUGUAAACCUCUUUCGCCAGUGAAGCAGGCCUGUCCCUUUUGUGGGUGGGUUGACGGUAGCUGGAUAAGAAGCGCCGGCUAACUACGUG